UCUAGUCUAGCCAUCGAUUAUUCAUAGCAUCUUAUCUACCAAAUAGAACUCAGUUCACUCGUUCUUCCUUCCCUACCUCUUCUUCUUAUUUUCUCAACUGAAGUUUAAUCAAUAACGACACUCACUACUUUCACUUCAUCAAUUUUACAAUUUUGAAAUGAAGAGAUAAAAUCAACUCAUGAAGAUUGAAUCUCUAUCUUCAUCAAAGAAGAAUAUGAAACCCAAUCUCAAAAACCCAUUAGCAGACAUUAAUUCAUCGUCUUCUACUUUUUCUAGUACUGUUUCAAUUGAAGCUUCAUCAAGAUGGUGAUGAAAGUAAUGAUAUAGGUAUGAUUCGGUCAAGGUUUGAUAAAUUGGUGAUGAUGGUCGUUGUUGAGGAAUGGAACUGAGAUUGAAUUGGUAGUCGUGAAAGUAGGUUCCAACAAGUUGAACUUGGCUGAAUUGGUGGUGUUGUAUGUGUAUAAAUUGUCAUUUAGAAGAAGGCAAAGCUUGGUCUUGUUGUUGGCUGGAGUGUAAAGUACAGGGACAAGGAGAUUUAGGGUUGUUGUUGGAUUGAAUAAAAUGCUUGAAAAGCAUAGUCAAAUAAAUUUCGUAGGAGCCGCAAGUUGAAGACAACCUCCUCACGCACAGAAAAUGCACUUCAGUUGUUCGCAGAAUUGCUUGAGAAGAAUUCUGAAGGUGGACCAGCUAACAAGAAAUGAUGUUGGGCAGUGUUGUGAUCAGUGGAUGAAGGAUGGAGUUGAGCAAGGAUAUGGUAAACAAUUUGAGGGUUCUGUCAAGAACAAGAACCUGACAUGGUGGUGUUUGGAAGAAGGGAUGAUUGAUGCACAAAGAUGAAAAAGAAAUUAAGGUUAAGUUUAGAAUGAGAUGUAUUUGUGUAUGAAGAAAUCUGAUGCAGUUGGAGUGUGGACAAUUAUUUCUGAUACUCAAUAGAUGUAUCCUAGGACUUUAAUUUGGAACUUUUGUUAAUUUUGUAAUUCUUUUUUUUCUUGAGAGCAAUUGUGUUGUUAUUUUUA
Papaver somniferum (opium poppy) is the source of this 1016-nucleotide long non-coding RNA. RefSeq lists it as uncharacterized. The transcript is spliced from 2 exons. The record is from RefSeq and is a predicted model, not a curated record. NCBI's taxonomy places the organism in Eukaryota, Viridiplantae, Streptophyta, Magnoliopsida, Ranunculales, Papaveraceae.